Molecule: long non-coding RNA, 427 nt
Filed under: Helianthus annuus (common sunflower)
Lineage: Eukaryota; Viridiplantae; Streptophyta; Magnoliopsida; Asterales; Asteraceae
Description: sRNA HanXRQr2_Chr15g0721831
Source: RNAcentral
UUUCUUUCUUGAACAACCGCAACAACCGCCACUACUCGCAAAUCGUCUGAAACAUCCUUGCACUUCGCCGGAGAAAUCGGAGUCUCAUCGGAGCCACGAACACACCUAAUCUUACGUCGAGCGCAAAUCGGAACUCGUGUUUCACCGUGAUCGGUUGAUUGAUCAAGAUACAAGAAAACAAGCUAGGACGGCUUUAGAAACCCAUUCUAGAAAUAAACUAUUGUUUGAAUUUAUGUUUGAAUGUUUGAAACUUUGUAUUGUCCUUUGGAAAUUAAUAAAAUGAUUUAAUUCAUAUUGUCACAUUUAGUGUUAUGUUGUUUUGAGCAAUUUGUUCGUCUCAUCCCGAUGUUUCCGCCAUCGGUUGGAGUGUGACACCAGGAAGAUGGGAAACCGACUUCCUUUACUAGAUAUGCCAGCGUUGUUCUAG